UCGUGGUGCUCAGCGUUGGGUUGAUGGUGGCGUACUGCCGCCGGUGAGAACUAGCAGGAUGAGGACACAAAGAGGGAGAUGGAGCGGCAAGACUACAAGAUCCCAGAUGCAGGUCGAGAUAAGAGAGAAAGGGCAUGUUUAGUUUGCACGCUAGGACAUGGGGAAGCUCAGCUCAGCCGUGGCCAUGAUGCACCUCACAAGGAGGUUCUUGGGGUAAUCACUUUUGCUGAAUGGCUCACCGACCCAUUGUUUCUGCGGCCUGUGAUGUUGACCAAGAAGCACAAAUGGAGACAAGUUCACCUCAUAGGGCCCUCGGAAAACUAAGAUUGCAGCUGCUGGCAGGCCUUUGAAUUUGACAUUUGGAAAGUAAAACUACAAGGGUAUUUAUAUUUGUUAAUGUGUAUACAAAGAUUUCUGUUCAGAUGUGCAUAGCUAUACCAUUACAGUGAGAUUUAUUGUGUAAAUGCCGUCCUGUAUCUUCGCAGAGUGUUGAAAUGAUGGUUGAUAAUUCAUAUAGGUGGCCUCAAGGCCUUAUUCGAGUUUAGUUUUUCUUAUGUAUAUGCUAACGUUAUAGGUGGCCUCAAGGCAUUAUACGCAUAGAAAUCUUCAUGCUGUUUUUAUUUAUAAUCUACAUUCUCUCAUCAGUUAAGUUAUAAUGUGUAGGUAAUUUUUUCUAUGAAUUUGUUGUCCUCUGAUGUGUGCAGAUUCCAGUCACAAUGAUGAGCUGUCUGAACAUGCCCGCAUGGAAAAAGUGACAUAGUUUGAGGAAACAUUGUGGUAAAGUCCCUUUGGGUCAUGUCGUUUGGUUUAUCUAAUUCUUUUAUUGAUUGUAUCUGGGUGCUUAACGAUGGGUCUUAGAGAUUAAUGGAGGGAAAAAGUGUAUGGAAUUAAUAGAUAGAAAUAGUUCUCAUGUAAUGGAAUCAAGGUACUGAAUAAGAGUUAUUUCUUGUCUGUCAUAGUGAUAUUGAGUUUUAAGUGUUCUCCAGAAAUUUUCUUUCUUGCCCCCUUAUUGUGUAUUUGCAGUUUUAGUCUUCAUUCCUUGCCUCCUUUCCUCAAAUUGCGAUGUUUCUAUGUUUGCACUAUACCUACCGAUGUCUGGUUCAGUGUGGGGGGAAAAGAAUUAUGUGGGAAAUUUAUGAAUUUUAGUUGCUGAUAAUAGACCAUUCUUUGGUAUUUAGUAGUUUAUGUCAAGA
This is a long non-coding RNA of Lolium rigidum, 1193 nucleotides long. RefSeq lists it as uncharacterized. Lineage: Eukaryota; Viridiplantae; Streptophyta; Magnoliopsida; Poales; Poaceae. The record is from RefSeq and is a predicted model, not a curated record. The transcript is spliced from 4 exons.